AUGCUCAAGAUUGAUCUUGCUAAAGCUUUUGACCGUCUUGAGUGGAACUUCAUAGUUUCUGCUUUGGCUCGUAAAGGACUGCAUGGUCAUUUCAUAAAUUUGGUUCAUGCCUGCAUCUCCUCACCUACUUUCUCUGUGCUUAUUAAUGGUCAACUCUCUCAAAAAUUUAAAAACUACAGAGGUAUUAGACAGGGCUGCCCUAUGUCUCCUUAUUUAUUUGUUCUAGCUAUCAAUGAGCUAUCCAUUAUGCUGAAUGAGGCUUUGCAGGCCAAUCAUUUGUUUGGUAUUUCUCUUGGACCAAAUUACCCUUCUGUACAUUCCUUACUGUUUGCAGACGAUCUUCUUGUCUGUGGGCAGGCUACUUGUCAGGAGGCUCAGGUAAGAGAUGACAUUAAAAGCAUUUUUCCAGUAGCUAAUCUGGAUGACAACUUCACUCAUUUA
RNAcentral lists this ribosomal RNA (441 nucleotides) under Triticum aestivum (bread wheat). RNAcentral describes it as "partial small subunit ribosomal RNA". Lineage: Eukaryota; Viridiplantae; Streptophyta; Magnoliopsida; Poales; Poaceae. The record is from RNAcentral.